UCCCUCUGCUCUCCUUGUCACCAGCUGACCCCUCUUGCUGUCCCAGCACUACGCUGCUCUGUCUGCCCUGGCUCCAAAUCCCUCCUCCUCUCCCCCACUCUCAAACUGAGGAACUUCCCACUUUGCUGCCCCUCUCACUAUCUUGCAGUCCUUCAUCUCUCCGGAGAUGGCACUUUUCUCUGCAUUUCUUCAGUUGCUUUUCUCCCCCUGCUACUUUCUCGGCUUCAUUCGCUGUCUCUGCAAAUGCCCCAUCCACUUUCUACUUUGCCAUCUGCUUAGGGCUCUCCCUCAAUCUUCCUUUCUCCUUCAAGAUGUUUCUCUUUCUUCUCCCUCGCUCUCCAGAUCUCUCUUUCUGCACACAUGCACAUGGAAGGAAUUGGGAUCAGAUGCCCACAUGCAGAAGAACCUUUUCAGUGGGGUGUUAUUUAGACUGCAAGAACACUGGAUGCCAGAAGACAGAGUAAGUCACCUCCCCACACCCAGGGUCAGGAGAAGCGGUGGCUGGGAAGAGGAGGCCUGGGAAGUAGCGGGGCCCCGGAUCAAGGAGGGUCUGGAUCAAGGGAGGGGUGGCGUCUGCAGAAUCCCAGGACUCGGCAGAAGACGCGGCUUCUCCUGGACUGCGAUUGGAGCGCUGCGCUCCAGGGUCAACAAAGGCGAGGCUUGGGGGACCUGAUAGACCGGAAUCCACCUAGCGGGGGAGGACUUUACGCGGUGCGGGGCGGAUGUAGGCAUCACAGAAGAAUUUGAAGCAGGAAAACUCCUCGAUAGGAGGUGACUACAUGGCCCUGUGGCAGAAAGACGGGGGACAGGACCCGCCGCGGAGCGAUUUAAACACACAGGGAAGCGACCGCGGGACUCUCACAGAGACGCCUGAAUUUGGUCGGGGUAGAGGGAGCGGUGCCAGGAUUUCAAGGAGACCUGCCAAGGAGGCUGAAGCAACUCAGCUGUCUCCGCGCUGUACUCUUGCCGGGACAGAGCAAAGUCUGCUGAUGAUUAGAUCCAGGAAAAUUCCUGCUAUUAAAGUUAACCUUAAGCCGGCUGUGGGGUGGGGCACCUGUACCAGCUACCCCGAAGACUGAGGCAGGAGGAUCGCUUGAGCCCAGGAGUUCGAGUUUACACUGAGUUAUAAUGGCCACUGCGCUCCAGCUUGGGCGACAGAGACUCAGUCUGUAAAAUAAAUACAUGAAAAACUAAUUUUAGCAAUUUAAUUAAAAAGCCCUGGGAUUGUCUGUGAAAGCUGUGGGGAAAAGAAAGAGAGAUCAGAUUGUUACUGUGUCUAUGUAGAAAAGGAAGAUAUGAGAAACUCCAUUUUGAUCUGUACUAAGAAAAAUUGUUUCUGUUUUUCUGCUAACCUGUAGAUGCUGUUAACCUGUAACUUUAGCCCCAACCCUGUGCUCACAGAAACAUGUGCUGUAAUGAAUCAAAGUUUAAUGGAUUUAGGGCUAUGCAGGAUGUGCCUUGUUAACAGUAUGUUUGCAGGCAGUGUGCUUGGUAAAAGUCAUCACCAUUCUCCAUUCUCGAUUAACCAGGAACACAAUGCACUGCGGAAAGCCGCAGGGACCUCUGCCCAAGAAAGCCUGGGUAUUGUCCAAAGUUUCCCCCCAUGGAGACAGCCUGAGAUAUGGCCUCAUGGGAAAGGAGAGACCUUACAUCCCCCAGCCCGACACCCAUAAAGGAUCUGUGCCUACACUGAGAUGUUUGGGUAAAGAGAAACAUAAAUCUAGCCUAUGUGCACAUCCGGGCACAGCACCUUUCCUUGAACUUAUUCAUGAUACAGAUUCCUUUGCUCACAUGUUUCCCUGCUGACCUUCUCCCCACCUGUUGCCCUGCUACACUCCCCUCACUAAGAUAGUAAAAAUAGUGAUCAAUAAAUACUGAGGGAACUCAGUACAGUACCGGCGCCAGUGCAGGUCCUCCGUAUGCUGAGCGCCGGUCCCCUGGGCCCACUGUUCUUUCUUUAUACUUUGUCUCUGUGUCUUAUUUCUUUUCUCAGUCUCUCAUCCCACCUGAGGAGAAAUACUCACAGGUGUGGAGGGGCUGGCCCCCUUCAAAAACCAGGCAAGUGAAUACGUGAACUGCAAAGCCCUGUCUGGGUGGAAUGUGCAAUUUCAUGCUGAUGGCUCACAAAGCAGAAUAGAAAUCCUCUCCUUUUCUAUUCCCUGUUCUUAUGGGAGGGACAGAGGUAACCCUGUGCUCAGCUCCAGAGAGUUUCCGAGUGACAGCACCUGGGGCAUGGAGGGCUAAGGCCAGUGAGAAUUCAGGUCACCAAUUGUUGCUUUUAAAAAAGCGUUAACUGACCGGGCGAGGUGGCUCACACCUGUAAUCCCAGCACUUUGGGAGGCCAAGGCAGGUGGAUCACUUGAGGUCAGGAGUUCGAGACCAGCCUGGCCAUGAUGGUGAAACCCUGUCUCUACUAAAAAUACAAAAAUUAGCCGGGCGUGGUGUCGCAUGCGUGUAAUCCCAGCUACUUGAGGUGGAGGCAGGAGAAUCGCUUGAACCCUGGAGGCAGAGGUUGCAGUGAGCCAAGAUCCUGCCACUGCACUCCAGCCUGGGUGACAGAGCGAGAGAUAAAAAAAAAAAAAAAAACUUUAAAAAAUAGAUGUAAAUUACAUAGUUCUUAUUUACAUUUGUUAUUGUAUGUUAUUCUAUUCCAAUUUGAGAUGAAUGAACCUCAAAUCCCUUUCAGAUAAACUUAGUUGACAUUGUAAUAUGCUUACAUCAAUAAUUUCUAAGUAUACUGUAAUUUCAAAUUCACUUUAUAUGCAUUCUGAAAGUAACUAGAAAAUGUACUUUUAACAAUUGUGAUCCUUUUUUAGGUGUUUUCUUUUCUUAAUAUUCUCUCAUGUGGGAAUAACAAAGCCUGUAGAGAGUCUUCAGAAGACUACUGGAUUGAUUUUCACCAAAGAACAAUUUUGCAAUAAUGCUAAGAUUAUUUGGUGAGCAAGUUAUUCUUUUUCAUGUGAACGUAGAAGAAAGUAAAACUAAAUUAUCAAAAUUUAAACAGCCUCGUGUCUACUGGCAAUAAUUUUAUGGCAAUAUUUGUGAAUUCACAUGUACUAAUAAAUACGCUUUUCUCUCACA
This is a long non-coding RNA of Macaca mulatta (Rhesus monkey), 3081 nucleotides long. RefSeq lists it as uncharacterized. Lineage: Eukaryota; Metazoa; Chordata; Mammalia; Primates; Cercopithecidae. The record is from RefSeq and is a predicted model, not a curated record.